GGGGAAUGGGUCUGCAGUCCAGGCCUGAGCAGGAGGAUGUGGGGUCUGCCUGCCCCAGGCAGCCCCUCCUGUCCUGAAGUCACUGACGUAUCCCCUACGCCCCUGCCCUGGGAAGCAGCAUAAACCCAGUGACCGGGAGGGUGGAAGAAAAGCUGCCCAACCCUAUGGAGGGCAUGACGGAGGAGCAGAAGGAGCACGAGGCCAUGAAGCUGGUGAACAUGUUUGACAGGCUCUCCAGGCACAGAGUCAUCCAGCCCAUGGGGAUGAGCCCCCGGGGCCACCUGACGUCACUGCAGGACGCCAUGUGCGAGACCAUGGAGGGCCAGCUGUCCUCGGAUCCUGACUCGGACCCUGACUGAGGGUGGCAGCUCUUCUGCUCCCACUUGAGAACUGGUGCUGCUUUCAGAGACGUCCCUGGGGCUGUCACCCAGGGAGGCCACCUCCCACCAGCCACAUGGCUCCACGCCUAUCUCCAGCUUGGGGGCCCUUCUCUGCUCCAGAGUGCUGUUCUUGAUCUGCUCUGGUCCACUUUCUUAUCUCUAGGUCCUGUCCUGUGGUUCUCCUGGAACUCGGCCUUCGUUUCCAUGUGUGUCUUAGAGGAGUGUGUGCAGAGGCUGCUGCCCAAGGCCAGGGUCGACCUGGACUUGCGGACAAGCGAGCGUGAGGGCAGGGGCUGAGCAUGCGUGCACACCGAAGCACACCUGGCCCAGAGCUGUGUGGGGGCGCAUGCUGCACCUCACAGGACUGCUAGAACUUUAUACACUAGUAUCAAACCCCACACUCCCAGUGUAUGUUCUGUUCUUUGUUCCCACUGAGCGCAGGACGGGUGGCCUCUCUGUCCUGAGUCCUGGCUCAGCUGCCCACAGUAGUGUCCAGGGCACCCAGGCUCUCACUGGCUGUGACAGCUGCAUCCCAGCCCUUCCCCAGGCUCAGACUGCUUACAGGAAGGGAAUGCCCUGGUGAGCCCUGAGGUUGAGGUUUCUACCGUGGACCCAAAACAGCCACGGAAACAUCACUCUACAGGAGUUUAGGGCAGGAAUGUACGUGUGAGUAUGUGUACAUUACCAAGUAAAAGAACAUUAAGUAGAAAUAGAAGCUGAUUUUGUCCUUUUCA
Molecule: long non-coding RNA, 1114 nt
Organism: Tupaia belangeri chinensis (Chinese tree shrew)
Lineage: Eukaryota; Metazoa; Chordata; Mammalia; Scandentia; Tupaiidae
Exons: 2
Source: RefSeq, a predicted model, not a curated record